UUUGUUUGUUUUUACACGUGUCUUUAUUGAGAAAACAACCAUGGUGGCAAGUCUUUACGCAGCCGGGACACCUGCGCCCCAUGGCAGAAGCAGCAGGGUGCUGCCACACAAAAUGGUGCCUGCCCCAGCAGUGGCGCAGCACCGCCCUUGUGCCCAGAUGGGGAACCCUGGUGUGUCCUCGCAGAUUUUUUCCAUGGGGUUGGGAGACACAUGAGGAAGGAUCGGGGCUGUCUAGAAGCCCUGUGCAGGGUGCUGAGGGCUGCCAGCUCUGGGGGUUUGCAGUGGCAUUGGGGCCAUGGCCCCUGAGGGGAUUUGUGAGGAAGGGGCUGCAGCGGCUUGUCAGCUCAGUUCGGCCUCUCUGUGUGGGAAGAGAAAUGGAAGAAAAAGAAAAGUGAACUCUGAAUCAUGCUGAAGGAGUGCUCUGGGCUGGCUACAGAGAAAAAGAGGAUGGAGCCAGCUCCCUGACAGGCUACUAAGGCCUGCGAGUGGUGAUCACACCAUGGUGUGUAAAAACAGAGUGGGCACAGAAAGGGGGAACAGGUGUUUGACAGAGGUGAUCAGAAGUUAAUUUAAAUUCACAGCUGUGGGUUUGUUUCUCCUGUUGUCUGCACCCCAAGGCAGCAAGGAAGAGGCUGCCAGGAGGACACUGGGGAAGGGCUGCCACAGGGACAGUCAGACCUGUGGGGUCUGUGAGGUUAUUACCAGAUGCAAGGGGGAAGGCAGGUGAACAACCACUCCAGAUCAAGCUCUGUGCUUUGCUGCUCUGCUGCUAUGAUGCACUCCCUCAACUAUUUCUGUGGUUCAAAAGUACGGAUGCUCCCUAAAAAAUUCUUGAGGCAGAGUUUUAGGAAAUUGGUCAGAAGUCUUAGAAAGCGAUGCAGACAUCAGAGCACACGCUUGGUUUUGCUCUGUAACAACAUCAACAUCACAGAGGAGCGUAUCCAUGCAAAAUCUUUAUUUGGAGAAUGUCUCCUGUGGGACAGCAGCACCCCUCCAGUUUACAGGGAUUCAAUAGCAUAA
RNAcentral lists this long non-coding RNA (1020 nucleotides) under Anas platyrhynchos platyrhynchos (common mallard). RNAcentral's name for it is "lncRNA (ENSAPLG00000029841.1)". Lineage: Eukaryota; Metazoa; Chordata; Aves; Anseriformes; Anatidae. The record is from RNAcentral. RNAcentral also lists the same sequence under 1 other name.